GCGGGUGUGGCGAAACUGGCAGACGCACGAGAUUUAGGUUCUCGCGCCGUGAGGUGUGCAGGUUCAAGUCCUGUCACCCGCACCA
Molecule: transfer RNA, 85 nt
Filed under: Oscillospiraceae bacterium
Lineage: Bacteria; Bacillati; Bacillota; Clostridia; Eubacteriales; Oscillospiraceae
Description: tRNA-Leu
Rfam family: tRNA
About the family: Transfer RNA (tRNA) molecules are approximately 80 nucleotides in length. Their secondary structure includes four short double-helical elements and three loops (D, anti-codon, and T loops). Further hydrogen bonds mediate the characteristic L-shaped molecular structure. tRNAs have two regions of fundamental functional importance: the anti-codon, which is responsible for specific mRNA codon recognition, and the 3' end, to which the tRNAs corresponding amino acid is attached (by aminoacyl-tRNA synthetases). tRNAs cope with the degeneracy of the genetic code in two manners: having more than one tRNA (with a specific anti-codon) for a particular amino acid; and 'wobble' base-pairing, i.e. permitting non-standard base-pairing at the 3rd anti-codon position.
Source: RNAcentral